RNAcentral lists this ribosomal RNA (459 nucleotides) under uncultured bacterium. Its description in RNAcentral is "partial 16S ribosomal RNA". It matches the Rfam family "Bacterial small subunit ribosomal RNA", at positions 338 to 795 of the family's 1533-position model. The record is from RNAcentral.
CCUACGGGAGGCAGCAGUGAGGAAUAUUGGUCAAUGGCCGGGAGGCUGAACCAGCCAAGUCGCGUGAGGGAAGACGGCCCUACGGGUUGUAAACCUCUUUUGUCAGGGAGCAAGGUGCAGGUCGGGACCUGCUGUGAGAGUACCUGAAGAAAAAGCAUCGGCUAACUCCGUGCCAGCAGCCGCGGUAAUACGGAGGAUGCGAGCGUUAUCCGGAUUUAUUGGGUUUAAAGGGUGCGCAGGCGGAGGCACAAGUCAGCGGUAAAAUCGCGGGGCUCAACCCCGCUACGCCGUUGAAACUGUGGCCCUUGAGUGCGCGAAGGGUAGGCGGAAUGCGUGGUGUAGCGGUGAAAUGCAUAGAUAUCACGCAGAACUCCGAUCGCGAAGGCAGCCUACCGGCGCGCAACUGACGCUCAUGCACGAAAGCGUGGGUAUCGAACAGGAUUAGAUACCCUAGUAGUC